Molecule: ribosomal RNA, 429 nt
Filed under: uncultured bacterium
Lineage: Bacteria
Description: bacterial SSU rRNA
Rfam family: Bacterial small subunit ribosomal RNA
Source: RNAcentral
UGAGGAAUCUUGCGCAAUGGGGGAAACCCUGACGCAGCAACGCCGCGUGAGUGAGGAAGGUCUUCGGAUCGUAAAGCUCUGUCAGUUGGAAAGAAAUGUCUGAGAGUCAAUCCCUUUCAGGCUUGACGGUACCAACAGAGGAAGCACCGGCUAACUCCGUGCCAGCAGCCGCGGUAAUACAGGGGGUGCAAGCGUUGUUCGGAAUUAUUGGGCGUAAAGAGCGUGUAGGCGGCCGGAUAUGUCAGAUGUGAAAGCCCCGGGCUUAACCCGGGAAGUGCAUUUGAAACUGUCCGGCUCGAGUAGGGGAGAGGGAAGUGGAAUUCCUGGUGUAGAGGUGAAAUUCGUAGAUAUCAGGAGGAACACCGGUGGCGAAGGCGACUUUCUGGACUGACCCUGACGCUGAGGUGCGAAAGCGUGGGUAGCAAACAG